Molecule: ribosomal RNA, 253 nt
Filed under: uncultured bacterium
Lineage: Bacteria
Description: partial 16S ribosomal RNA
Rfam family: Bacterial small subunit ribosomal RNA
Source: RNAcentral
UACGUAGGGUGCAAGCGUUACUCGGAAUUACUGGGCGUAAAGCGUGCGCAGGCGGUUUCGCAAGUCAGAUGCGAAAGCCCCGGGCUUAACCUGGGAACUGCAUUUGAAACUACGAGGCUAGAGUGUGUCAGAGGGGGGUAGAAUUCCACGUGUAGCAGUGAAAUGCGUAGAGAUGUGGAGGAAUACCGAUGGCGAAGGCAGCCCCCUGGGCUGAGAUUGACGCUCAGGCACGAAAGCGUGGGGAGCAAACAGG